UGACAAUAUACCAUUGAACAUGGUGUUGGGGCUGAAGUGGGUUUUUUUUGUUGUUGUUUUUUAUCAAGGUGUGCAUUGUGAGGUGCAGCUUGUUGAGUCUGGUGGAGGAUUGGUGCAGCCUAAAGGGUCAUUGAAACUCUCGUGUGCAGCCUCUGGAUUCACCUUCAAUACCUAUGCCAUGUCCUGGGUCCGCCAGGCUCCAGGAAAGGGUCUGGAAUGGGUUGCUCACAUAAGAAGUAAAAGUAAUAAUUAUGCAACAUAUUAUGCUGAUUCAGUGAAAGACAGAUUCACCAUCUCCAGAGAUGAUUCACAAAGCAUGCUCUAUCUGCAAAUGAACAACUUGAAAACUGAGGACACAGCCAUGUAUUUCUGUACAAGAUACACAGUAAGAAGUCUUCAAUGUGAGCCUAGACACAAAGUUCCACUUCAGCUAUCCUGCAAGGAUUCUGGCUACACACUCACUAGCUACUAUAUUAACUGGGUAAAGCAGAGACCUGGACAUGGCUGUGAAUGGACUGGAAAUAUUUUUCCAGGAAAUGGUGGUACUUACUACAAUGAGAAUUUCAAAGGCAAGGCCACAUUGACAACAGAAAAAUCCUCCAGCACUGACUAA
Molecule: non-coding RNA, 613 nt
Organism: Mus pahari (shrew mouse)
Lineage: Eukaryota; Metazoa; Chordata; Mammalia; Rodentia; Muridae
Source: the annotation of a RefSeq genome assembly